Molecule: unclassified non-coding RNA, 302 nt
Filed under: uncultured fungus
Lineage: Eukaryota; Fungi
Description: sequence contains ITS1, 5.8S rRNA gene, ITS2 and 28S rRNA gene
Rfam family: 5.8S ribosomal RNA (bases 254-302)
Source: RNAcentral
GAAGGAUCAUUAUUGAAUGAACUUGGUGUGGUUGUUGCUGGCCCUCUCGGGGGCAUGUGCACACCCACCAUCCUCAUCUCUCCACCUGUGCACCUCUUGUAGACCUGGAUUGACUUUCCGAGGCAACUCGGUCGGGAAGAUUGCUGCGCUCUGUGAGCCAGCUUUCUUUGCAUGUCCAGGCCUAUGUUUUUCAUAUACCCCUAUAGAAUGUAACAGAAUGUAUCAUUGGGCCUUGUGCCUAUAAACCUUAUACAACUUUCAGCAACGGAUCUCUUGGCUCUCGCAUCGAUGAAGAACGCAGC